UCACGAACACUUGUUGCGCGAGUUCGAAGAAGUGACGCAGAUCCGGCUUGGUUCCGUCGGCGAACGCAAAGAGCACGAGUUCGAAGAAGCGAUGCAGAAUCGGCUUGAUUCCAAUCAAUCGCCAUCGAAUACUGAGGAGAAAAAGGAGCCUGACUGCAACAGUGAUCCGGUGUGCGACACAGAAAGUGCCUUUGAAUACGUCGUCGAGAAGACAGAGCAAGAAUUGACCAAAAAGAACUCACUCCUACAGCCAGCCAUCUGCAAGCAGCGAGAAUAAUAUGGCCGACACGAUGGCUACACUGGUAUAGAAAAUCACGGAAACGUGACGUCAAGGAAGAAGAGGAAUGAAUCGCCAUCUUAUCUGGACGGCAGGCCGCCGGCAAAAAAAA
Long non-coding RNA from Rhipicephalus microplus (southern cattle tick), 389 nucleotides. The record is from RefSeq and is a predicted model, not a curated record. NCBI's taxonomy places the organism in Eukaryota, Metazoa, Arthropoda, Arachnida, Ixodida, Ixodidae.